RNAcentral lists this long non-coding RNA (1346 nucleotides) under Gallus gallus (chicken). RNAcentral describes it as "lncRNA (ENSGALG00010007107.1)". The record is from RNAcentral. Lineage: Eukaryota; Metazoa; Chordata; Aves; Galliformes; Phasianidae.
GUCUCUUUCUGGAUGUUGUUCCUUUUGGUGUUUUUUUUUCUGAAAACCAAGGACAUGGCUCUAAAACAGAAUGAGUCACAAGGACCUUUUUCAGACCUGGUAUCCUUUCUACCAUCAAGAAACAACAUGAUGUUUAGCACCAGACCAACAUACAGCUUCUCUACAGGAUUCAGAUUUCUUCACAAUAAGGUGAAAUCGUCGAUGGUAUAAAUCCUAGCUGAGAUAAAGGUGCUGCAUCCUUUCUGCCAUCAGAGGACAGAAUUCACUAGUUCCUGUUCAGAAAGGAACAUGCCUGAAAUGCAUUGCUGUUAUAUAGUAUCUAGAAAUUAGGAUGAGGACAUGUCUAGGUUUCUAAUUCCAUAGCACUUAGCAAUCAAUGAUAAGGUUCAGCUAUCUCCUUGUUCUUGUCUGCUGUAGGAAGCCCUAGGCUGAACACUAUUUCUACUAGUUUCUACUUCUGCUUCUACAGAAGCACUUGCUUCCGGGUGGCUUCUGAAGGUGAGUGACCUCACAACCAGCACAGAAGAUGCUACUGAAACCUUAAGGUUAAAUUAAUUUGUGCUAUGUUUGAAAAGUGCUAUGUACAAGCAGGGAAAGUUAAAAUGCUUUGAACCUAAUGGCUGAAAAUAUAUUAAAAAAAAAAAGAGUCUCUUCUGUCAUACUGAUAAUUCCGAUUAUAAUUCUAAUAACUCAGAUAAUUGAAGAGAUAUCAAAAAUGUGCUUGGCGUUUUUUUCAAUAAAACAAUGGGUCUAAUCAUUAUUUUGGGGUUUUAUAUAGUCGUGUACAAUAGUAGAUAGGGAGGUUAAGGAGUGAAAUUCUUGUUUCUGAGUACGGGAUUGCAGAUAUCUUAUAGGAUUAACAUUUUAAAAGAUUGCACAAGUUUUAUAAUAUCAUGCCUCAAAAAAAGUAUUUUCAUUCCCUAUUACAUUUAGCAAAUAUUUUGGCCUGAUUAUAUUUACGAAUGUUUCAAUUGUAAUUUAGAAAUGUUGCAUCUCAUAUUCUUGCCCAUAGACAUAGUGUCAUACAUACUCACCUGUUGAGAAAUAUUAAAAUAUUCUCUUUUUAACUUUUAUAAUUGAAAUUGUUGCUUUUUACAGUAAGUUUCGGGUGUGUCUCAACUCUAAGUGUAAUUAUUACUUAAGCAUGCAUUUCUUUCGUGUUUUAUAAGGCAGUUUUGUUAGACAUCAAAAAUAAACUCCUGAUUUCCCAAACAUUCUUUUGAAGCUCCAUGAUAAUAGAUAGCAAAGUACGCACACAUUUCUUGGGGGGGGGGGGGGGGAAGAAAAAGGAAAAAAUGAACUAAUCAACCAACCGAGAGAUAUACUGUAGCAGAUGGAAAUACAAG